This 1222-nucleotide long non-coding RNA is filed under the name Homo sapiens (human). RNAcentral describes it as "non-protein coding LINC02422:19". Lineage: Eukaryota; Metazoa; Chordata; Mammalia; Primates; Hominidae. The record is from RNAcentral.
AGUGCCACCAGAGAAGCCGCGGACCCGGCCCGCAGAUAACACCCGGGCUUGCAGAGCGCUUUCAUCUGCCCGACGCGGAAAUCUCCUGCAGCGAUCUUCUACCUUCAGCGUGCAUCCGCAGCACCCAGAGGGCACGUUAAAGAGAGAUUGAGAACCACCAGCAAAACUGCUGAUUCAGUAGGUUUGGGGUGGGGCUGAAAAAUGUGCAUUUCUAACAAGUUCCUGAGACCGACUGUUGCUGCUGGCCUCAGGACCAAUUUUUUCUAUAAAGCGCAUGGAAGUCAGAGUGCACCCAAGAGAUUGUUAACCCUUAAAAAACAGAAAAAAAAAAAAGAAAUCAACAAGUUAGAGGCAAAUAAGUGUGAAAGAAAGUGGAUAGUCUAUUUGGGGAUUCUGAAAGUCCCUGAGGAAAGUUGACUUUGGAGACCAGAUCACGAAGCACGACCUCUUAAUUGCCGACCUUUUGUUAUAGAUUAACUCCCUUAUUUUCUUGUUCCCAGCUCAGACCAGAUGGCAUCUGAGAUAAAAUACGCAUUGAAUAAGAUAAAUGACCGCUUGACUAUUACAUCCUUAAUGUGGAAUGUUAAAUAGACCCUUCCCAAAAAGAAACACUGCCUUGAACCAAUCAAAUUGCUAUGCGUUAACCUUCUAUGGAAAAUGUUGACAUCCUGUUAAGCUUCCCAGACCCUGCCUGUGUAAACGACCCUCAAACUUCUCCCUUUCGAAGCACUGACCCCCAUCUUUUGGAGUCUGUGUCCUACCGGGUCGCCAUCCUCAAACUUUGCACUCAAAUAAACCAAUAUUUAAUCAUAUUGCCCGAAUCUCAUUAUUAAGGUUUACGUAAGCGUUUACUUAGUAAUGAAGGUUGCAACCAGGAUGGCAAAUCAGAGAUUGUGCCACUGGAGAGGGGCAAGGGAGCUUAUGUUUAUAGGAAUUUAUUUGUUACAUAAAUUGUCAGAUUAGUUCAUUGGUGAAUUAAACGAAGAAGUCUUUAGUCAUUACUAGAAGAGUGCGUUUGCGUCUGUCAGAAACAAAACAAAAAAACUACAUACAGAAUAUUCUUUCUUUUUUGGGGGGGGGACGGAGUCACGCUCUGUCGCCCAGGCUGGAGUGCAGUGGCACGAUCUCGGCUCACUGCAAGCUCCGCCUCCCAGGUUCACGCCAUUCUGCUGCCUCAGCCUCCCAAGUAGCUGGGACUACAGGCGCCCGCCACCAUGCCCGG